AAAAGCUCGUAGUUGGAUCUCAGCUGCGGUCGGACGGUCCGUCAUUCGGCGGUUACUGUCCGUUGCCCAGCGUUGCGGCGGUUAUCUUUGAUGAUCUUCACCGGUUGUCUCGGGUGACCGCCAAGUUUACUUUGAAAAAAUUAGAGUGCUCAAAGCAGGCGUGACGCCUGAAUAAUUGUGCAUGGAAUAAUGGAAUAGGACCUCUGUUCUAUUUUGUUGGUUUUCGGAACACGAGGUAAUGAUUAAGAGGGACAGACGGGGGCAUUCGUAUUGCGACGCUAGAGGUGAAAUUCUUGGACCGUCGCAAGACGAACUACUGCGAAAGCAUUUGCCAAGAAUGUUUCCAUUAAUCAAGAACGAAAGUUAGAGGCUCGAAGGCGAUCAGAUACCGCCCUAGUUCUAACCAUAAACGAUGCCAGCCAGCGAUCCGGCUGUGUUCCUCAAAUGACACGCCGGGCAGCUUCCGGGAAACCAAAGCCUUUGGGUUCCGGGGGAAGUAUGGUUGCAAAGCUGAAACUUAAAGGAAUUGACGGAAGGGCACCACCAGAAAUGGAGCCUGCGGCUUAAUUUGACUCAACACGGGUAAACUCACCUGGCCCGGACACAGGAAGGAUUGACAGAUUAAGAGCUCUUUCUUGAUUCUGUGGGUGGUGGUGCAUGGCCGUUCUUAGUUGGUGGGGCGACUUGUCUGGUUAAUUCCGAUAACGAACGAGACUCCAGCCUACUAAAUAGACGUUCCCAUCCUCUUGCGUGGGACGUUCUUCUUAGAGGGACAAGCGGCGUUUAGCCGCACGAGACAGAGCAAUAACAGGUCUGGAAUGCCCUUAGAUGUCCGGGGCCGCACGCGCGCUACAUUGAAGGAAUCAGCGUGUGCUUUCCUAGCCCGAAAGGGCUGGGUAACCCGUUGAACCUCCUUCGUGCUGGGGAUUGGCGCGUGUAAUUACCGCCAUGAACGAGGAAUUCCCAGUAAGCACGAGUCAUCAGCUCGUGUUGAUUACGUCCCUGCCCUUUGUCCACACCGCCCGUCGCUACUAUCGAUUGAGUGAUUUAGUGAGGUCUCCGGACUGGCGCCCGGUCUGGCCUUCGAGGUCGAGCCGAAGUGCCGGAAAGAUGACCAAACUUGAUCACUUAGAGAAAGUAAAAGUCGUAACAAGGUUUUC
This 1160-nucleotide ribosomal RNA is filed under the name Mastophora phrynosoma. RNAcentral's name for it is "SSU rRNA". It matches the Rfam family "Eukaryotic small subunit ribosomal RNA", at positions 622 to 1804 of the family's 1831-position model. Lineage: Eukaryota; Metazoa; Arthropoda; Arachnida; Araneae; Araneidae. The record is from RNAcentral.